Molecule: long non-coding RNA, 202 nt
Filed under: Musa acuminata (dwarf banana)
Lineage: Eukaryota; Viridiplantae; Streptophyta; Magnoliopsida; Zingiberales; Musaceae
Description: long non-coding RNA (MACU_LNC010588)
Source: RNAcentral
AAUUGGUCCGAACAAGUCCAUAUGGAUCAAUUGCAAAGGUCUAGAGGUGCUUAUUUGGUUCUUAGGUUUGAAGCUACAUUUUAUUUAUUUUCCUAAUUGACAAGCAUCACACACAUUAUCUUUGACGAACGUGAUAUGAGGAAAUUCUCUUACAAGUUCUUUAGAUGAAAUUUGGGUGAUUAGUUUCAUGCUAGCAUCGUCA